This 87-nucleotide transfer RNA is filed under the name Clostridiales bacterium. RNAcentral's name for it is "tRNA-Leu". It matches the Rfam family "tRNA". Rfam says of the family: Transfer RNA (tRNA) molecules are approximately 80 nucleotides in length. Their secondary structure includes four short double-helical elements and three loops (D, anti-codon, and T loops). Further hydrogen bonds mediate the characteristic L-shaped molecular structure. tRNAs have two regions of fundamental functional importance: the anti-codon, which is responsible for specific mRNA codon recognition, and the 3' end, to which the tRNAs corresponding amino acid is attached (by aminoacyl-tRNA synthetases). tRNAs cope with the degeneracy of the genetic code in two manners: having more than one tRNA (with a specific anti-codon) for a particular amino acid; and 'wobble' base-pairing, i.e. permitting non-standard base-pairing at the 3rd anti-codon position. The record is from RNAcentral. Lineage: Bacteria; Bacillati; Bacillota; Clostridia; Eubacteriales.
GCCGGUGUGAUGGAAUAGGUAGACGUAGUGGAUUCAAAAUCCACCGCUGGCAACAGCGUGCCGGUUCGAGUCCGGCCACCGGCACCA